GGCGGUCUGGUGGAAUGGCAGACACGCUUGACUCAAAAUCAAGUGCUCGCAAGGGCGUGCAGGUUCAAGUCCUGUGACCGCUACCA
Molecule: transfer RNA, 86 nt
Filed under: Caryophanales bacterium
Lineage: Bacteria; Bacillati; Bacillota; Bacilli; Caryophanales
Description: Bacillales bacterium (anaerobic digester metagenome) tRNA-Leu
Rfam family: tRNA
About the family: Transfer RNA (tRNA) molecules are approximately 80 nucleotides in length. Their secondary structure includes four short double-helical elements and three loops (D, anti-codon, and T loops). Further hydrogen bonds mediate the characteristic L-shaped molecular structure. tRNAs have two regions of fundamental functional importance: the anti-codon, which is responsible for specific mRNA codon recognition, and the 3' end, to which the tRNAs corresponding amino acid is attached (by aminoacyl-tRNA synthetases). tRNAs cope with the degeneracy of the genetic code in two manners: having more than one tRNA (with a specific anti-codon) for a particular amino acid; and 'wobble' base-pairing, i.e. permitting non-standard base-pairing at the 3rd anti-codon position.
Source: RNAcentral